AGUUAAUUAAUUUAAAUAAAAAUUUUUAUUUUGAAAAUAAACCUUAGAGCUUAAUUCUAUUAACUUA
RNAcentral lists this transfer RNA (67 nucleotides) under Floraphis choui. Its description in RNAcentral is "tRNA-Ser". The record is from RNAcentral. RNAcentral also lists the same sequence under 1 other name. Lineage: Eukaryota; Metazoa; Arthropoda; Insecta; Hemiptera; Aphididae.